Chlorocebus sabaeus (green monkey) is the source of this 1029-nucleotide long non-coding RNA. RefSeq lists it as uncharacterized. The record is from RefSeq and is a predicted model, not a curated record. Lineage: Eukaryota; Metazoa; Chordata; Mammalia; Primates; Cercopithecidae.
CACGUCUGCACCCAGCCCCGCGGUGACGUAGUUGGGGUGGACGAUGAUCCGGCUGACGUUCAGCAGACCCCGGCCCCCGUACAGAUACACGUCCCCGGCGUGGAUCCGGCCUGGGAAGAGCCAGGAGGCACCUGGAGAAACAGCCCAGGAGAGACCUGGAGGGAGGGCAAGAUGUCCCAGCCUCUUCCGCCAGGGCGAGCAGGCAGCGGCCCUCGGGUGAGAAGGAGAAUGGAGACGGCAAGGCUGACGUCCUCAUGCCCCCACCUCGGCUUGGAGCUCACUCCUGGGAAGGCCGCCACGGCACAGCGAGGGACACAGGGGCGGGACGAGGGCCAGCUCUUGAAACACCCUGUGUCCUACUUUCUGUGCUGACCACGGAGGUGCGGGCCCAUCCCUCACAGAUGGUCCUGGCUGCGGCUGUUGGGCAAUGGCACCUGGGAACACGAUACCUGUUUGUCCUGAUAGGGUCGGGACCAGACCACCAUGAGAGCGUUUGGUGAUAGGAUCAGAGGAAGGACUGGGGGCCGUGCAACCGUUAAGACUGGGGUCAGAGGCCCUGGCCAAUGAUAGGGUCAAGUUCAGGCCUGCGGCCAGGGCGCCCGAGCCCAGGGACAUCAUUAGGCAAAGGAUGUGGUUGCUUCAGGCCAGUGUUGCAAAAGGGUUGGGCUGAAGAAAAGACCAGGCAGAGGGUCCCAGCUCAGGGGCCCAGGGGCCUCAGAACAGAGUGUGCAGCGCCCGAGGUCACUGGGACCUGGGAGAUGAAGGGCUCAUGACCACGAUUCUUCCAUGUCCCACGGUCACUCAGCCUUUGUGUACAAAUGGAACCCUGGUGUCCAUCAGUCUGGCUUCCCUGGUGUGGAGUCAGCUCUCACAGACCUGCAACGCCCUGUACACCGGGUGCCCUCUGCUCACACUGGGCACCCCUUUGUGACGAGGCCGCUGAGCUGCACUUCCCGGGUUGGGAGACCGUUUCCCAAAGGCGUUUUAAUGGAGCCAUUUAGUUUGUGAUGAGCUUAAAACCCGCAUUGA